GAUGAACGCUGGCGGCGUGCCUAAUACAUGCAAGUAGAACGCUGAAGGAAGGAGCUUGCUCUUUCCGGAUGAGUUGCGAACGGGUGAGUAACGCGUAGGUAACCUGCCUGGUAGCGGGGGAUAACUAUUGGAAACGAUAGCUAAUACCGCAUAACAGUAGAUGUUGCAUGAUAUCUACUUAAAAGGUGCAAUUGCACCACUACCAGAUGGACCUGCGUUGUAUUAGCUAGUUGGUGAGGUAACGGCUCACCAAGGCGACGAUACAUAGCCGACCUGAGAGGGUGAUCGGCCACACUGGGACUGAGACACGGCCCAGACUCCUACGGGAGGCAGCAGUAGGGAAUCUUCGGCAAUGGACGGAAGUCUGACCGAGCAACGCCGCGUGAGUGAAGAAGGUUUUCGGAUCGCAAAGCUCUGUUGUAAGAGAAGAACGAGUGUGAGAGUGGAAAGUUCACACUGUGACGGUAUCUUACCAGAAAGAGACGGCUAACUACGUG
Molecule: ribosomal RNA, 497 nt
Filed under: uncultured bacterium
Lineage: Bacteria
Description: partial 16S ribosomal RNA
Rfam family: Bacterial small subunit ribosomal RNA
Source: RNAcentral